CCUACGGGAGGCAGCAGUGGGGAAUAUUGCACAAUGGGGGAAACCCUGAUGCAGCGACGCCGCGUGAAGGAUGAAGUAUUUCGGUAUGUAAACUUCUAUCAGCAGGGAAGAAAAUGACGGUACCUGACUAAGAAGCCCCGGCUAACUACGUGCCAGCAGCCGCGGUAAUACGUAGGGGGCAAGCGUUAUCCGGAUUUACUGGGUGUAAAGGGAGCGUAGACGGUAUGGCAAGUCUGAUGUGAAAACCCGGGGCUCAACCCCGGGACUGCAGUGGAAACUGCCGAACUAGAGUGUCGGAGAGGCAAGUGGAAUGCCUGGUGUAGCGGUGAAAUGCGUAGAUAUUACGAGGAACACCGGUGGCGAAGGCAGCUUACUGGACGAUGACUGACGUUGAGGCUCGAAAGCGUGGGGAGCAAACAGGAUUAGAUACCCGGGUAGUC
This 440-nucleotide ribosomal RNA is filed under the name uncultured bacterium. RNAcentral's name for it is "partial 16S ribosomal RNA". It matches the Rfam family "Bacterial small subunit ribosomal RNA", at positions 338 to 795 of the family's 1533-position model. The record is from RNAcentral.